Long non-coding RNA from Eriocheir sinensis (Chinese mitten crab), 1052 nucleotides. RefSeq lists it as uncharacterized. The record is from RefSeq and is a predicted model, not a curated record. Lineage: Eukaryota; Metazoa; Arthropoda; Malacostraca; Decapoda; Varunidae. The transcript is spliced from 2 exons.
GCGGGAAAAUGCUACAGGUAAAUAUGAUAAUGGUAAUAAUAAAUGCCAGAAAUAAUUUAAAUGCUAGAAAAAUGCUGCCAUGAAACAGAGAAUUGUAGUAGUCUUAUGAAAGGACUAGAAGGCAAAGUACUGCAAACGACUCAUCGGGACCAGAACAACGGUACCAAAAAUGUUAUCGGUACUCAAAUAACGGUACCCAAAACACAAAAUGCUAUCCGGUACCAAAUAGAAGAGGCCAGAAUCAGUAAUGGACCAGAACAACGGUACCAAAAAUGUUAUCGGUACUCAAAUAACGGUACCAAAAACAAAAUGUUAUCUGGUACCAAAUAGAAGAGGCCAGAAUCUGUAAGGGGCCAGAACAACGGUACCAAAAAUGUUAUCGGUACUCAAAUAACGGUACCAAAAACAGAAAAUGCUAUCCGGUACCAGAAAAAGAGGGCAGAAUCAGUAAGGGGCCAGAACAACGGUACCCAAAAUGUUAUCGGUACUCAAAUAACGGUACCAAAAACAGAAAAUGCUAUCUGGUACCAGAAAGAGGGCAGAAACAGUUAGUAAGGGAGGAUGGAUAUGACUGACAAUCUCUCUCUCUCUCUCUCUCUCUCUCUCUCUCUCUCUCUCGUAAGGCCAAAAUCGCACAAAUGGACAGCAAUACUUGUCGCAACUCUACUGCAAAUGUGUUUCUCUGUGGGCUGUGACGGAAGGAAGGAAGGAAGGAAGGAAGGAAGGAAGGAAGGAAGGGAAGGCAAAUUGAGAGAGAAUGGAUAUAAGGAGAGGGAAGGAAAGGAAGGAAGAGAAAGGAAGGAAGAGAAGGGAAGGAAAGAGAAGAGAAGGGAAGGGAAGGGAAGGGAGAGGAAGGGAAGGGAAGGGAAAGAAAGCAUAUAGAACCAGUAGUAGUUGUAGUUGUAGUAGUAGUAGUAGUAGUAGUAGUAGUUGUUGUUCUUGUCAGUGUAACUUUUAGACGCGAAAUCUUAGUGAAAAAUAUAAAUCGAUCGACUACUAUCCAAAGCUAACACACACACACACACACACACACACACACACACACACACACA